Molecule: long non-coding RNA, 458 nt
Filed under: Apteryx owenii (little spotted kiwi)
Lineage: Eukaryota; Metazoa; Chordata; Aves; Apterygiformes; Apterygidae
Description: lncRNA (ENSAOWG00000000253.1)
Source: RNAcentral
CCUCACGCUUGCACAGAGGCAGGUCAUCUCCUGCCCUGGCCCCUCUGCAACACCUACAUUAAACUAGAAAUCAGACCACUCCCGCAGCUUUGGAAACAGUUCCUACAGCCACUGACUGGACGUCUUGGGUCUGCCGGAGGCAGCACCUUCGCGUCCUUCAGGCCAUCUCCUGAGACAGCAGUCGCUGAUGGCCCCGAUGAGGAACAGGGAUCCAGCUCCUGCCUUGGGGCCUGUCAGAGCCUGGGAAGAGGGCUGAGGCCAGGCCCUGCCCAGGCUUUAUUCUACAGCACUGAGCUGGCUGUUAGGUAGCCAUCAACUGCUGAGGCCGUGAUUAGCACUAUCCAGAAUUACACUGCUGGCAUCAGCAGUAAGUAUAACUGAGCAGUGCAAUGACAGUACACUGAAAUAAUACCAAACGUCAAUAAUAAUAAAAUCAAGAAAAAUAUCCCUUUCUUUCA